UGUCCUGCAGAAAUGCGACCAAACUAUUGUUUGUGUUGCAACAGGGACAUUAUUCAGUGAUGCACCGAAAAUGCAGUAAAACUUUUGCGUUGAACGUGUCCGCCGAAGUUGUACGAUAAAUUACGGCCCAAGUUGGUGUAAAUAAUAAAUUAUGUAGUCCGUGUGUGAUAAAAGACAUAAUUUUACAAUUCCAAACCUAAAGCGGAGCUUAGCAGACCCCUUGUCGGGUAAAGUGAAUGCUGUUACCCCCGACGACAACGUCCGCCCUUGAGGGAACGUCUCAACAUUGGCUGCUGCGACGCGAGAAAUUUGGCUGCCAUCUUGAAGUGGUGAUGAGGAGCCGGCGAGCGACCUAAACUGACAGCUGACAGCCUGAGCGAACCCUCCCUCCACCAGCAGAAGGACAACUUCCUGUUUGAAGGCUUCUGCUGUCUUCUGCCCCAGCGACCACCGCCAUCUCCACCGUCUUGCAGGUCCAGCUGCCGGGUUCCCUCGCCUGCCUACAUUCACUUGGCCCACCCCAUCCAGCUGGGCUCCAGGCGCCACCCCGCCCGGCCUGCGUCCAACAGGUGAACGGCGAGCUCGCUCCGAGGCGACCUCCGGCCUUCUGGGGCACGGCCGCACUGUCCACCGUCGCAGCCAAACCAGCUGUGUGUGAUCGGGAAGCCGUGUGUUCUGAGCUGCGGGCGGCGGCCCGUCACGGCGGCUCCUUCGGGCGGUCCGGGGCGCCAGCAUCUCCACGUGUUCCUACCUGCGGAGGCGCAGGAAGAGGCGGAUUCUGCGGGCGAAGACUUCAUGGAUGAACUGGACAUUAAGAUAACGUCACUGAGGUUGCAGCAGGAAGACCACAGUGAACUUAAAACGCCGCCAUGAUUGUGAGGCUCUAAGUCAGGGUGUCCAAAAUGUGGACCGGGGGCCAUUUGUGGCCCGCAGAAAUUUUUUAAAAAUGUAAAACAUUUUUAACUGUCCAUCCAUCCUCUUCCGCUUAUCCAAGGUCGGGUCGCGGGGGGCAGCAGCCUAAGCAGGGAAGCCCAGACUUCCCUCUCCCCAGCCACUUCGUCUAGCUUCUCCCGGGGGAUCCCGAGGUGUUCCCAGGCCAGGCGGGAGACAUAGUCUCCCCAACGUGUCCUGGGUCUUCCCCGUGGCCUCCUACCAGUUGGACGUGCCAUUUGGGUGGAAUCCUGACCAGAUGCCCGAGCCACCUCAUCUGGCUCCUCUCCAUGUGGAGGAGCAGCGGCUUUACUUUGAGUUCCCCCCGGAUGACAGAGCUCCUCGCCCUAUCGCUAAGGGAGAACCCCGCCACCCGGUGGAGGAAACUCAUUUCGGCCGCUUGUACCCGUGAUCUUGUCCUUUCAAUCAUAACCCAAAGCUCAUGACCAUAGGUGAGGAUGGGAACGUAGUUCGACCGGUAACUUGAGAGCUUUGCCUUCCGGCUCAGCUCCUUCUUCACCACAACGACUACAGGCUUGUUUGUGUUUUAUUUUUUCCUCUGUGUGUUUAGUAUUUCCUGUCCUUAGUUCCUGUCAGCACUCUUAUUUUGGUUCUGCUUCCUGUUUGUCUCCCUGAGUGUUUUGUUUCGCCUUAGCUGCAGCUGAUUGGCACCUGGCCACACCUGGUGUCAAUCAGCCCGCUCCUAUUUUACCUGCUUUGUUCCUACAGUCAGUGCUGGAUUAUUGUCAUGCCGAUGUCGCUCCUGUCGCAUCGUGUCGUAUCUUGUCUUGUCUAUGCGGGGCGGCAUGGCGUAUUGGGUAGAGCGGCCGUGCCAGAAACCGGAGGGUUGCAGGUUCGCCUCCCACCUAUUGACAUCCAAAUUGCUGCCGUUGUGUCCUUGGGCAGGACACUUCACCCUUGCCCCCGGUGCCGCUCACUGGUGAAUGAAUGAUGAAUGAAAGAUGGGUGGUGGUCGGAGGGGCCGUAGGCGCAAACUGGCAGCCACGCUUCCGUCAGUCUACCCCAGGGCAGCUGUGGCUACAGAUGUAGCUUACCACCACUAGGUGUGAAUGAAUGAUGGGUUCCCACUUCUCUGUGAGCGUUUUGAGUAUCUAAUAAUAGGAAAGCGCAAUAUAAAUCUAAUCCAUUAUUAUUCAUUAUUAUUAUUAUCAUUAUUAUGCAGCGUUGCGAUAAGCUAUGUUUGAUUGCGUUUUUUUAGCUUACUGCCUUUUGUUCCCUGCUUCCAAGUUUGUUUUUAUAUUACCUGUACGACUUCUGUUUCCUGCUCGAUUCUUGCUAGCUUCCAUGCUAAGUUCCUUUUUGUUUUCUAGCUCCCAUGCUAGCUCUCUUAGUUUGUUAUCCGCCUCGUGCGCGGUUUGUGUUAGUACCCUUUUGUUUGUUCUUGUUUUAGUAUUUAUAUUAAAUCAUGUUUUCCUGCAAAAUGCCUCCCUCCUUCUCUGUAUCUUUGGGUUCGUCACAAACUAACUUUGACAAAUGGAUCUUUUUUCAAAAAUAAUUAUGGAUCAAAAGCAAUGUGGUUUUGAGUUAUUUGACCCAGCAGGCAGAUGACAUUGACACAACGUUGAUUAUACGUACAUGUCCUUUAAAACUGACUUUGAAACGACGUUGCAAAAUAGUUGUAUUUUUAAAUUUAAGACAACGUUGAUGUCCAACGUUGGAUCCAUCUUAUUGGUUGGGAAAUGACCAUUGACCAAGCUGACAUUGAAUAAAUUUAGUCAAAAAGCUUGUUGUUUCAACGUGUUUGUGUUGUCGAAUUUUGGUUGGAAAAAUGACCAAAUUUCAAUGAUCGAAUCAACGUUGUCUAAAAGUACGUUGUUUCAAUUAUGAAUUUGUGUUGUCCAAUUUUGGUUGGAAAAAUGACCAAAUUUCAAUGGUUGAAUCAACAUCACAAGCUGACAUUGAAGAAACGUAAAAAAGUAUGUUGUUUCAAUGCUGUAUUUGUGUUGUCAAAUUUUAAUGGUGGAAUCAACGUCACAAGCUGACAUUGAAUAAAAUGUGGUCAAAAGCAUGUUGUUUCAAUGUAUUUUGGUUGGAAAAAAUACGACAUUUCAAUGGUUGAAUCAACGUCACAAGCUGACAUUGAAUAAACGUCAAAAAGUACAUUGUUUCAAUGUUGUAUUUGUGUUGUCAAAUUUUAAUGGUGGUAUCAACGUCUCAAGCUGACAUUGAAUAAAUGUAGUCAAAAAGCUUGUUGUUUCAACGUGUUUGUGUUGUCGAAUUUUGGUUGGAAAAAUGACCAAAUUUCAAUGAUCGAAUCAACGUUGUCUAAAAGUACGUUGUUUCAAUUAUGAAUUUGUGUUGUCCAAUUUUGGUUGGAAAAAAUGACCAAAUUUCAAUGGUUGAAUCAACAUCACAAGCUGACAUUGAAUAAAUGCAGUCAAAAAGCAUGUUGUUUCAACGUGUUUGUGUUGUCUAAAAGUAUGUUGUUUCAAUUAAGAAUUUGUGUUGUCAAAUUUUGGUUUGAAAAAAGACCAAAUUUCAAUGGUUGAAUCAACAUCGCAAGCUGACAUUGAAUAAACGUCAAAAAGUACAUUGUUUCAAUGUUGUAUUUGUGUUGUCAAAUUUUAAUGGUGGAAUCAACGUCUCAAGCUGACAUUGAAUAAAUUUAGUCAAAAAGCUUGUAGUUUCAAUGUAUUUGUGUUGUCAAAUUUUGGUUGGAAAAAUGACCAAAUUUCAAUGGUUGAAUCAACAUCACAACCUGACAUUGAAUAAACGUAAAAAAGUAUGUUGUUUCAAUGUUGUAUUUGUGUUGUCAAAUUUUAAUGGUGGAAUCAACGUCACAAGCUGACAUUGAAUAAAAUGUGGUCAAAAAGCAUGUUGUUUCAAUGUAUUUUGUUUGGAAAAAAUACCACAUUUCAAUGGUUGAAUCAACGUCACAAGCUGACAUUGAAUAAACGUCAAAAAGUACAUUGUUUCAAUGUUGUAUUUGUGUUGUCAAAUUUUAAUGGUGGUAUCAACGUCUCAAGCUGACGUUGAAUAAAUGUAGUCAAAAAGCUUGUUGUUUCAACGUGUUUGUGUUGUCAAAUUUUGGUUGGAAAAAUUACCAAAUUUCAAUGAUCGAAUCAACGUUGUCUAAAAGUACGUUGUUUCAAUUAUGAAUUUGUGUUGUCCAAUUUUGGUUGGAAAAAUGACCAAAUUUCAAUGGUUAAAUCAACAUCACAAGCUGACAUUGAAUAAAUGCAGUCAAAAAGCAUGUUGUUUCAACGUGUUUGUGUUGUCUAAAAGUAUGUUGUUUCAAUUAAGAAUUUGUGUUGUCAAAUUUUGGUUUGAAAAAAGACCAAAUUUCAAUGUUAAAAUCAACGUCACAAGCUGACAUUGAAUAAACGUCAAAAAGUACAUUGUUUCAAUGUUGUAUUUGUGUUGUCAAAUUUUAAUGGUGGAAUCAACGUCUCAAGCUGACAUUGAAUAAAUGUAGUCAAAAAGCUUGUAGUUUCAACGUAUUUGUGUUGUCAAAUUUUGGUUGGAAAAAUGACCAAAUUUCAAUGGUUGAAUCAACAUCACAACCUGACAUUGAAUAAACGUAAAAAAGUAUGUUGUUUCAAUGUUGUAUUUGUGUUUUCAAAUUUUAAUGGUGGAAUCAACGUCACAAGCUGACAUUGAAUAAAAUGUGUUCAUAAAGCAUGUUGUUUCAAUGUAUUUUGGUUGGAAAAAAUACCACAUUUCAAUGGUUGAAUCAAUGUCACAAGCUGACAUUGAAUAGAUAUAGUCGAAAAGCUUGUUGUUUCAACGUGUUUGUGUUGUCGAAUUUUGGUUGGAAAAAUUACCAAAUUUCAAUGAUCGAAUCAACGUUGUCUAAAAGUACGUUGUUUCAAUUAUGAAUGUGUGUUGUCCAAUUUUGGUUUGAAAAAUGAUCAAAUUUCAAUGGUUGAAUCAACAUCACAAGCUGACAUUGAAUACAUGUAGUCAAAAAGCAUGUUGUUUCAACGUGUUUGUGUUGUCUAAAAGUAUGUUGUUUCAAUUAGGAGUUUGUGUUGUCAAAUUUUGGUUUGAAAAAAUACCAAAUUUCAAUGUUAGAAUCAACGUCACAAGCUGACAUUGAAUAAACGUCAAAAAGUACAUUGUUUCAUUGUUGUAUUUGUGUUGUCAAAUUUCAAUGGUGGAAUCAACGUCUCAAGCUGACAUUGAAUAAAUGUAGUCAAAAAGCUUGUAGUUUCAACGUAUUUGUGUUGUCAAAUUUUGGUUGGAAAAAUGACCAAAUUUCAAUGGUUGAAUCAACAUCACAACCUGACAUUGAAUAAACGUAAAAAAGUA
Nerophis ophidion (straightnose pipefish) is the source of this 5202-nucleotide long non-coding RNA. RefSeq lists it as uncharacterized. Lineage: Eukaryota; Metazoa; Chordata; Actinopteri; Syngnathiformes; Syngnathidae. The transcript has 2 exons. The record is from RefSeq and is a predicted model, not a curated record.